This 310-nucleotide unclassified non-coding RNA is filed under the name Rhizoclonium sp. B17. Its description in RNAcentral is "sequence contains ITS2". The stretch from base 1 to 122 matches the Rfam family "5.8S ribosomal RNA", at positions 33 to 154 of the family's 154-position model. The record is from RNAcentral. Lineage: Eukaryota; Viridiplantae; Chlorophyta; Ulvophyceae; Cladophorales; Cladophoraceae.
UCGAUGAAGAACGCAGCAAAGCGCGAUAGGUAGUGUGAAUUGCAGAAUUCCGUGAAUCAUCGAAUUUUUGAACGCAUAUUGCGCCCUUGCCCUCGGGCUUGGGCAUGUCUGCCUCAGCGUCGUUUCUAAUGGUGUAAUGCUACAACCCUGCGUGGUCCUUGUAGUUGUGCAUGGGCUUAAGAUUUGAUAUGGUCGUGCUGCAGGGCACGGCAACAUACGGCAGUCCCCUGAAACUGUUCAUAGGCAAUAAGCUAUUCGUUAGCACGAGUUCCCUACGGACUGUUCAAGGACCAGAAAGGCUGGCCGUUAU